This 447-nucleotide ribosomal RNA is filed under the name uncultured bacterium. RNAcentral's name for it is "bacterial SSU rRNA". It matches the Rfam family "Bacterial small subunit ribosomal RNA", at positions 355 to 825 of the family's 1533-position model. The record is from RNAcentral.
UGGGGAAUCUUGGACAAUGGGCGAAAGCCUGAUCCAGCCAUGCCGCGUGAGUGACGAAGGUCUUCGGAUUGUAAAGCUCUUUUGGCGGGGACGAUAAUGACGGUACCCGCAGAAUAAGCCCCGGCUAACUUCGUGCCAGCAGCCGCGGUAAUACGAAGGGGGCUAGCGUUGUUCGGAAUUACUGGGCGUAAAGCGCACGUAGGCGGAUUUGUAAGUCAGGGGUGAAAUCCCGGGGCUCAACCUCGGAACUGCCCUUGAUCCUGCAAAUCUCGAGUCCGAUAGAGGUGAGUGGAAUUCCUAGUGUAGAGGUGAAAUUCGUAGAUAUUAGGAAGAACACCAGUGGCGAAGGCGGCUCACUGGAUCGGUACUGACGCUGAGGUGCGAAAGCGUGGGGAGCAAACAGGAUUAGAUACCCCCGUAGUCCCUGAGCGGGCUGGCAAGGCGCAU